This 253-nucleotide ribosomal RNA is filed under the name uncultured bacterium. RNAcentral's name for it is "partial 16S ribosomal RNA". It matches the Rfam family "Bacterial small subunit ribosomal RNA", at positions 524 to 776 of the family's 1533-position model. The record is from RNAcentral.
UACGAAGGGGGCUAGCGUUGCUCGGAAUCACUGGGCGUAAAGCGCGCGCAGGCGGUCUUCCAAGUCAGUGGUGAAAACCCGGAGCUCAACUCCGGAAUUGCCAUUGAAACUGUGAGACUGGAGUACGAGAGAGGUGAGUGGAAUUCCCAGUGUAGAGGUGAAAUUCGUAGAUAUUGGGAAGAACACCGGUGGCGAAGGCGGCUCACUGGCUCGUAACUGACGCUCAGGCGCGACAGCGUGGGGAUCAAACAGG